This 421-nucleotide ribosomal RNA is filed under the name uncultured microorganism. RNAcentral's name for it is "bacterial SSU rRNA". It matches the Rfam family "Bacterial small subunit ribosomal RNA", at positions 9 to 429 of the family's 1533-position model. The record is from RNAcentral.
GAGUUUGAUCGUGGCUCAGAUUGAACGCUGGCGGCAUGCCUUACACAUGCAAGUCGAACGGCAGCAUGAUCUAGCUUGCUAGAUUGAUGGCGAGUGGCGAACGGGUGAGUAAUACAUCGGAACGUGCCCUGUAGUGGGGGAUAACUAGUCGAAAGAUUAGCUAAUACCGCAUACGACCUGAGGGUGAAAGUGGGGGACCGCAAGGCCUCAUGCUAUAGGAGCGGCCGAUGUCUGAUUAGCUAGUUGGUGGGGUAAAGGCCCACCAAGGCGACGAUCAGUAGCUGGUCUGAGAGGACGAUCAGCCACACUGGGACUGAGACACGGCCCAGACUCCUACGGGAGGCAGCAGUGGGGAAUUUUGGACAAUGGGCGAAAGCCUGAUCCAGCAGUGCCGCGUGUGUGAAGAAGGCCUCGGUGUAAG